AGAGUUUGAUCCUGGCUCAGAAUCAACGCUGGCGGCGUGCCUAACACAUGCAAGUCGAACGAGAAAGUGGAGCAAUCCAUGAGUAAAGUGGCGCACGGGUGAGUAACACGUGACUAACCUACCCUUGAGUGGGGGAUAACCUAGGGAAACCUGGGCUAAUACCGCAUAACACCUACGGGUCAAAGGAGCAAUUCGCUUAAGGAGGGGGUCGCGGCAGAUUAGUUAGUUGGCGGGGUAAUGGCCCACCAAGACAGUGAUCUGUAUCCGGCCUGAGAGGGCGCACGGACACACUGGAACUGAAACACGGUCCAGACUCCUACGGGAGGCAGCAGUGGGGAAUUUUGCGCAAUGGGGGAAACCCUGACGCAGCAACGCCGCGUGGAGGAUGAAGUCCCUUGGGACGUAAACUCCUUUCGACCGGGACGAUAAUGACGGUACCGGAAGAAGAAGCCCCGGCUAACUUCGUGCCAGCAGCCGCGGUAAUACGAGGGGGGCGAGCGUUGUUCGGAAUUAUUGGGCGUAAAGGGUGCGUAGGCGGUUCGGUAAGUUUUGUGUGAAAUCUUCGGGCUUAACUCGAAGCCUGCACAAGAUACUGCCGGGCUAGAGUGUGGGAGAGGUGAGUGGAAUUUCCGGUGUAGCGGUGAAAUGCGUAGAUAUCGGAAGGAACACCUGUGGCGAAAGCGGCUCACUGGACCACAACUGACGCUGAGGCACGAAAGCUAGGGGAGCAAACAGGAUUAGAUACCCUUGUAGUCC
Molecule: ribosomal RNA, 756 nt
Filed under: uncultured bacterium
Lineage: Bacteria
Description: bacterial SSU rRNA
Rfam family: Bacterial small subunit ribosomal RNA
Source: RNAcentral